UUCGGGUUGUAAACCUCUUUCAGCACAGACGAAGCGCAAGUGACGGUAUGUGCAGAANAAGGACCGGCCAACUACGUGCCAGCAGCCGCGGUNAUACGUAGGGUCCGAGCGUUGUCCGGAAUUAUUGGGCGUAAAGGGCUCGUAGGCGGUUUGUCGCGUCGGGAGUGAAAACNCCGGGCUUAACUCGGUGCUUGCUUUCGAUACGGGCAGACUANAGGUAUUCAGGGGAGAACGGAAUUCCUGGUGUANCGGUGAAAUGCGCANAUAUCANGAGGAACACCGGUGGCGAAGGCGGUUCUCUGGNAAUAUCCUGACNCUGAGGAGCGAAAGUGUGGGGAGCGAACAGGAUUAGAUACCCUGGUANUCCACNNCGUAAACGUUGGGCNNNNNGUGUGGGGUCCAUUCCACGGAUUCCNUGCCGC
RNAcentral lists this ribosomal RNA (422 nucleotides) under actinobacterium WD70. Its description in RNAcentral is "partial 16S ribosomal RNA". It matches the Rfam family "Bacterial small subunit ribosomal RNA", at positions 417 to 849 of the family's 1533-position model. Lineage: Bacteria; Bacillati; Actinomycetota; Actinomycetes. The record is from RNAcentral.